Molecule: long non-coding RNA, 353 nt
Filed under: Homo sapiens (human)
Lineage: Eukaryota; Metazoa; Chordata; Mammalia; Primates; Hominidae
Description: HSALNT0351193
Source: RNAcentral
GUAGCUUUGCUGGGAGCUGCGGUAUUCCAACAGCCCCUAGUGUCGGCUGGGAUGAUGUGACUUGGGGGUUAAAUGCAGUUUGCAGUUUCAAAAAAGAAAAGCAUGAUUUGUUGAAAGAGGCUCCUGAAGAAGAACAUGUGUAGUGAUGUACAAAAAAUGAUUCCUGUUGGACAUUCAACACGAUACUCCAAUGUACUUUGAACACGUCAUGUUCUGUGAAGGUAAAAAUUACUCCUCAAGUUUAUAAAGUAAGGACCUUCGGGACUGGCACGACCUCAUUAUGGCUAACCAGCUAGCUCCCCUCAGCACUGUUUUUUCCUGCUGGUCACCAGUAAGUGAGACAAACCUGUCUU